GGAUUAUAGGUCUAAUUUCUGUAGUAUCGGUCACUGCCUUAAUAGCCGUGACAGUUGUUUUGAUUUGUCGAAGAAGAAGAACUCCAGGAUUAGUGUUUCAGAGGUCAGAAAUCCCGCACACACGACUGGUCAACACAACUUCUUCCGAGCCUUCUCCAAUGAGCUUUGACCCUCCGCCUCCCUAUCCUACAAACGAAACAAUGGCCACAGAAUACCAAUUUAUCGUUCCUGUCAUUGUGAAUACACGAUAGAAUAUUUUGAAAAAUAUGUGAAGAUUAUAAUUUUAAAGAGCAACCAUUAUUGUUAUAUUUGCUUUAUCUACUGUUUUAUUUAAAAUAUCAUACAACAUUGAGGUCGUGCAUAAGAAAUACCAUCAUAAGCAUGAAACUCUUUAAAUAUUCAUGUAUAUGUUGCUGAAAAUAUUUUAACAUUAGCAACAUUGAGUUACGCAAAGUAAUGUUUGUCGCAUGUCAUGGCCAUAUUAAAUAAUAUUGUUCCUCGUAUAAUUUAAUGCAUUUCAAUAAUAAAUUUUGUUAUUGUU
Long non-coding RNA from Saccostrea echinata, 541 nucleotides. RefSeq lists it as uncharacterized. The record is from RefSeq and is a predicted model, not a curated record. The transcript is spliced from 2 exons. NCBI's taxonomy places the organism in Eukaryota, Metazoa, Mollusca, Bivalvia, Ostreida, Ostreidae.